GAAGUUAGCGGCGGACGGGUGAGUAACACGUGGGUAACCUGCCCAUAAGACUGGGAUAACUCCGGGAAACCGGGGCUAAUACCGGAUAACAUUUUGAACCGCAUGGUUCGAAAUUGAAAGGCGGCUUCGGCUGUCACUUAUGGAUGGACCCGCGUCGCAUUAGCUAGUUGGUGAGGUAACGGCUCACCAAGGCAACGAUGCGUAGCCGACCUGAGAGGGUGAUCGGCCACACUGGGACUGAGACACGGCCCAGACUCCUACGGGAGGCAGCAGUAGGGAAUCUUCCGCAAUGGACGAAAGUCUGACGGAGCAACGCCGCGUGAGUGAUGAAGGCUUUCGGGUCGUAAAACUCUGUUGUUAGGGAAGAACAAGUGCUAGUUGAAUAAGCUGGCACCUUGACGGUACCUAACCAGAAAGCCACGGCUAACUACGUGCCAGCAGCCGCGGUAAUACGUAGGUGGCAAGCGUUAUCCGGAAUUAUUGGGCGUAAAGCGCGCGCAGGUGGUUUCUUAAGUCUGAUGUGAAAGCCCACGGCUCAACCGUGGAGGGUCAUUGGAAACUGGGAGACUUGAGUGCAGAAGAGGAAAGUGGAAUUCCAUGUGUAGCGGUGAAAUGCGUAGAGAUAUGGAGGAACACCAGUGGCGAA
This 646-nucleotide ribosomal RNA is filed under the name Bacillus sp. (in: firmicutes). Its description in RNAcentral is "bacterial SSU rRNA". It matches the Rfam family "Bacterial small subunit ribosomal RNA", at positions 88 to 719 of the family's 1533-position model. The record is from RNAcentral. Lineage: Bacteria; Bacillati; Bacillota; Bacilli; Caryophanales; Bacillaceae. RNAcentral also lists the same sequence under 1 other name.